Molecule: long non-coding RNA, 3140 nt
Organism: Mirounga angustirostris (Northern elephant seal)
Lineage: Eukaryota; Metazoa; Chordata; Mammalia; Carnivora; Phocidae
Exons: 3
Source: RefSeq, a predicted model, not a curated record
CAUGUGCGUGAAUGUGAGUGUGCAUGUGUGAAUGUUCGUGUAACAUGGGUGUGUGUACGUGUGUACAUGUGUGUGUAUAUAUGUAUACAGGCGUGUGUGCGUGGGGUGAAACGGACAUCCUUCCUCCCGGCCUGGCCGCGGGCUGGUGGGGGUCUGCAAGGCCAGGCUGAGUGGCCCAUAGAGGGGCCAGAUGAGUUUCUCCUUGGCUGUUGUUGAAGAGACAGGCUGCUCUCCGGUUGUGUGUCCUUGGGAGGGUCAUGCAGCCAGAGCCUCCUUCCCUCGUCAGCCCGCGGGACGCUGGGGGCAGCGCUGUCCCUUCUGCUUUUCUGCUUCCUAGAAGGGCCCUGGUUUUGUUUGCGGUGGCGGGGUGCUUAACCGUCCUUGCAGCUAGGUGGCCACGUGAGUCAGUGCUGACCCGGAGGUGUAGACAGGGGCGUCCAGGGAGGGUCCUACCCAAACCAGCCCGGCCUGGCCCCCUGUUGGGAGGGGGAUGGCUCCAGGUCACAGGGGACAGGGCGGUGGUAGGAGAGCAAACACAGCCUGGGACUGCGGGCCCUGUGCCACCCACUGCCCUCCUCCUGCCUCCUGCCUUCCGCGAGGUGGGAACAGAAUAACCAUCCAGGGCUGUGGGUCCUGUGACAGGUGGAAGCCUCCGUCCCCGGCCCAAGAGACAGGACAGAGGAGGACGCCGACGGCAGGAGAACACAGCCACAGGGGGAGCUCGGGGAGGUGUGUGCGGGCGAAUGCAGCGGAGUUCCGAGCCAAUGCCCAGUGUCCCGGACGGGCGCCCGCUACCCUGCCUGCCUGCUGGCGUCCCCACUGGCCGACCAGCCUCUGAGCGAGGCCUGCCAGAGAGCAGGCUGGUGUGGACACGGGCUGAUCCGCGCAGGUGAAGUGACUUCCUUCCCCGUCUGGCGCCAGGAAGGGUCAGACCCAGGUCCCCCACCCCGGCCCAGACGCCCUGGGGUUCAGGCCCCCUCCCCUGCGGGGGCGCCACCCUGCGGGCCUCAGCCAGCGCCGUCUUCGGGGACCCAGCCGUCCAGUUGUGGCUGCUGAUCACACAACAGCUGCUCUUCUUGCUCGAGUGUGACGGUACAUUUUUUCGGGCGGCCGGACUCUCCCUGGCUUGCAGUGUAAGCGACUGGUCUGGCUGGGUCUGGCUGGGUCCCGGCCGCCCCCUGUGUCCCUCCAUUUAUCUUUGGCCCCCGGGCUGCUCCGUGGACUCCCUGCCAAAAGCAAGGAUUGAAUUUUGACUCUUGUUUUGCUGAUGGUCUAGAAUAUGUAAAAAAUGUUCCAUUGGGAGACCCGAGGGCACGGCGGGGGUGGGGAGCGGGGGCUUGGGAGCGUGCUGUGGCCAGCACAACCCCCCGCCCCGGGGUAGACCUUUGGGGUGCCUGGUGAGCUGGGGGAGGGCUGGGGCGAGCGAGGCUGUUUAUUUAGAGCAGUCGCUUGUUGGUGCUUCUGGAACACCAGGGUGUGUGAGCUUGUCAGGCAGUGGGGGCGUCUUUCCCUGCUUCGCAGGAGAGAAAACACUUGUGACCCCAUCGCUUGUUUGACAGGCUGGCUUGGUCCCCGUGGGCGUGUCCCUGCGCCCACUCACGCCGCAAAUGCUUCUCCGGUGCACACGGUAACUAGUUCCUGCCGGGCAGUGGGAUCCGGACCUGCCCCGCCGCCCCGAGGGAGCUCCUGGUCCAGUGGGAGCCCAAUGCAGCCAAAGGGCUCGGCAGGCGGGGGCAGGACAGGCAUGCGGCUGAGGGGAGGGCUGCGGUCCCAGCCUGCAGUGGGGACCGAGCAUGCCUCCCGGUCACGGAGUGAACCCAAGCUCAGUGCAUAGGAACCCAUGGGGCCAGCCAGGCGGUGCGGUUGUCCUUCCGAAGGCCCCAGGGCGGGAAGCGGCUUGGUGCUGGGUGUGGACGAGGCUGUCACCAGCGGGUGUGGCUGGAGCAUGAGGCUGAGUGGGGCAUCGAGGGAGAGAGGUCAGGCUUUGAGGGUGGGGGGUCCAGCCUUGGACGCUCAGGCCUGGCCUGCCUGUGGGCUGACACCCAUAGAUGCCGUGUGCCUGCCCGUGGUGUGUCUUUUGUCCUGGUGUCUACACAGCCUGGGGCUGGCUUCCAGCUGGUCCUGUCGCCCUGGACAGCCACAGGGGUUUGGAACUACGGCUGCAAUUGCAGGGGAAGAUGCAGAUGGGGUGCCUGCCCUCACCCGCCCCCGACCUUUGAGGCUUCAUCUUGGAGCUCACCAGGAUCCCGGCCACUGUCUCCUGGAGUCCUGAGUCCCGUGGGAGCGGUGACCCAUAGGAACAUGGAAUUAGGCAGAAGAAAUGUGCUUGCCACAUGAAUAUGGCAGCACGGUGCCUUCCGGCCCGAGUGUGCCCCUGCUGUUCCAGAUGGAGGUCUGGUGCCUGGCUUGGGAGGAGGAUGGCCCUUGUACAUUCGAUGGGCCAGGCCUGGAAGGCUCCAAUGAGCUGCAGUUAUGGGGCUGGUGUGGGGAAGUUUCUCCAAGAUCGCCCUGCAGCCCCCACCCUGCCUGUGGACAGGAUGCUCUUCGGGACCAAGAGCAAAUGCCUCUGUUUGCGGAAACUUCCUGGCUUUCCAGGUGCAGAGCACCCUGAGCUCACAAAUCUCCCUUUGCUGGGACUUCUGCUGGACAACAGAUUUUGUGUUGGAUGGCAUUUACAAGUGAGAAGCUCCAAAGUACGGGGGCUGGUGUGCAUGUGCGUGCAACCCCACAGCUGGGGACCCCAACGAGCCCCCUGCGGCUACCGGGCUCCACGCUGCGCCUGUGGGUCAGCUGCAAGCUCCUGGAGGCCCCUCCAGCUGCUGUCCAUGUCCAGGGAGUGUAGGGCUUUGUCCCCGGACAGGAAUGCCCUCUCCUGCCUGGCCGUCUUGACUCUCACCGACUCAUUACUAAGAAUAAAAGUCAAGUGCCCGUCAGGCCCCUCUGCUGUUUCUGAGAAACUGGCCCCUUCCCCAGACCGUCCACUGCAGCCUUGCUGUUUUCCCACCUUCAUUUCAAAGUUCAGACAUGAUGCAUCUGAGUCAAGAGCUCCAAUCAUGGGGUCUGGCCCUUGAAAGGCCAGGCAAGGGGUCUUCAGCUCAGAGGUGUUUUGGCUUUGAAAAUUCUCCCACUUGCACUUGAAA